GAUUUAGCUCAGCGGCAUAAGCGCCUGCCUUGCAAGCAGGCAGUCAUGAGUUCAAUGCCUGGUACCAAUAAAAAGGAAAAAGACCAAAAAAAAAAAACGAAGAAGGAGGAGGGGAGGGGCGGGAGAUUUAGCUCAGCGGCAUAAGUGCCUGCCUUACAAGGAGAUGGUUGUGAGUUUGAUCCCCGGUACUGAUAAAAAGAUUAAAAAAAAAAAAAAAAAAAGGAGAGGAAGAGAGAUUGAAGAGAGGAGAGAGAAAUGAGAAAAAAAGAAACGAGAUAAAUCAUGUAUAGGUACAAAUUCCAUGUAAUGAAUGAAAUCAUUAAGUAUAUUUAAAUUGUUCAAUAUAUUUAAUGAUUUUAAAAAAGAAGUCUUAUGCCUUUCCUACUGCUUCCACCAUGGUGGGCCUUGCCAACAUUCCUGCAGCCCUCCGUUUUUUCCCAUCUUAUUAUUGAGAUACUCUCAUCGCCUAGAUGGUAAUGUGACUCCUUCCAUGGAACAUCACCAUUCCUCUUAAAAAAGAAAUAAAGACAAAAAGGUCAAUGUCACAUCCUACAACUGAUACAUCUUCUUGAACAUGAAACAAAGUUUUCCAUUUUCCUCUGGAUGAACUUGCUGUAUACUAGCAAAAGAACUUUGUUAUGUUUGUGUUAUUCCAAAGUACCUGUUAUGCCUCUAUACUGCUCUGUAUACAUUCCCUCCCCCUGUGACCUAAUUGAUAUGUUAAUCAAUGCUCUCCUCUGUAAAGAAUUGUAAAUCCCUGGGAACCUAACCUAAUUGAUAUGUUAACCAUUGUUGCCCUCUACAAAUAACAGAUGUGGUGCUAAAAUAAGCUGACAAAGGAUUGUUAAUUAAUUCUAGACUUCUCUGUCCUCUGCUAAGGGAAACAUUUCCUUGGCAGAUUUCCUGAUCUAUGCCCAUAACCCCUUACUUUGUAAACUGUGAUAUCUACCAAAAUGCUGUAAGUUUUGAAGGGGACACACAGCUUUUGCAUACUCCAACUGCACUGUGUCGCUGGGCCCAGGAUAAAAUCUAACCCAGCUU
This 1041-nucleotide long non-coding RNA is filed under the name Cavia porcellus (domestic guinea pig). RNAcentral describes it as "lncRNA (ENSCPOG00000039066.1)". The record is from RNAcentral. Lineage: Eukaryota; Metazoa; Chordata; Mammalia; Rodentia; Caviidae.